AUUACACGGUGUAGUACGUUGACGGUUGCUAUUCGAAAAAAAACGCGUCCGCUGUUGCUAUCCGAAACUUUUACGGUUGCUAUCCGAAAAAACCCACGAGUAAACAUGGUAAGUGUUUGAAUUUCAUCAAUAUUAUGUAUUAAAAAAACUUUGAUCUUGUAUGAUAUCGUCUUCACGGAAUAUAAGACAUAUUUGUCUAACGAUUUCAGUUCAGUUUGAUCAGUGCAAACGAUAACGGGUAUUUGGCAUGUGUGAUCUAAUUUAUUCAUCUCGCUUUCAAAGACGAGACCUAUUUUCCUUGUUAGGGGUAGACAGUAUUCGUUGAUAAUAUCUAUAGUAUUCCGUAAGACCAGUUUUAUUAUAUAUAUACACAAAUUACCUGCGCCUGUUGACGUUUCUUUGGGCUGCUCCAUCCUAAAUUGCCAUUUUAUUUCGGAUAGCAACCGUAAAAGUUUCGGAUAGCAACAGCGGACGCGUUUUUUUUCGAAUAGCAACCGUCAACGUACUACACCGUGAUUUAUAU
RNAcentral lists this long non-coding RNA (523 nucleotides) under Mytilus galloprovincialis (Mediterranean mussel). Lineage: Eukaryota; Metazoa; Mollusca; Bivalvia; Mytilida; Mytilidae. The record is from RNAcentral.